This 253-nucleotide ribosomal RNA is filed under the name uncultured bacterium. Its description in RNAcentral is "partial 16S ribosomal RNA". It matches the Rfam family "Bacterial small subunit ribosomal RNA", at positions 524 to 776 of the family's 1533-position model. The record is from RNAcentral.
UACGUAGGGACCGAGCGUUGUCCGGAUUCAUUGGGCGUAAAGAGCUCGUAGGCGGCUGCUCAAGUCGAAUGUGAAAACUCGAGGCUCAACCUCGAGCCUGCAUUCGAUACUGGGCGGCUAGAGUCUGGUGGGGGGAUCUGGAAUUCCUGGUGUAGCGGUGGAAUGCGCAGAUAUCAGGAGGAACACCGGUGGCGAAGGCGGGUCUCUGGGCCGAUACUGACGCUGAGGAGCGAAAGCGUGGGGAGCGAACAGG